AAGACUAUACUUUCAGGGAUCAUUUCUAUAGUAUCUAACUAGGAAAUGUGUUUCGAAAGUGUUGCGUCUCCCUAACCACGAUGAAGAGGUACGAUAUUCCCUUCUGAGCGCGAAGCGAGUAGAGAGAAGUGAUUUACUUCACACGCUCUCUAUUAUUGAUGAACGUUCCUCUCUGCCUUUGGCAGUCUGGAGGAAGGGAAUAUGGUCCGAGUGGC
Molecule: small nucleolar RNA, 215 nt
Organism: Chanos chanos (milkfish)
Lineage: Eukaryota; Metazoa; Chordata; Actinopteri; Gonorynchiformes; Chanidae
Product: small nucleolar RNA U3
Exons: 1
Source: RefSeq, a predicted model, not a curated record